Molecule: ribosomal RNA, 459 nt
Filed under: uncultured bacterium
Lineage: Bacteria
Description: partial 16S ribosomal RNA
Rfam family: Bacterial small subunit ribosomal RNA
Source: RNAcentral
CCUACGGGUGGCAGCAGUGAGGAAUAUUGGUCAAUGGGCGGGAGCCUGAACCAGCCAAGCCGCGUGAAGGAAGAAGGCGCCAAGCGUCGUAAACUUCUUUUGUCUGGGAACAAAGGGCGCCACGUGUGGCGCGGUGAGUGUACCCGAAGAAAAAGCAUCGGCUAACUCCGUGCCAGCAGCCGCGGGAAUACGGAGGAUGCGGGCGUGAUCCGGAUUUAUGGGGUUUAUAGGGUGCGAAGGCGGUACGGAAAGUCAGCGGUAAAAGCCCGGGGCUCACCCGCGGAGAGCAGUUGAAACUGUGGGACUAGAGACGGCGAGAAGUACGCGGAAUGCGCGGUGUAGCGGUGAAAUGCAUAGAUAUCGCGCAGAACUCCGAUGGCGAAGGCAGGGGACCGGCGCCGGACUGACGCUGAGGCACGAAAGCGUGGGUAUCGAACAGGAUUAGAUACCCGAGUAGUC